This 492-nucleotide ribosomal RNA is filed under the name Escherichia coli. RNAcentral's name for it is "bacterial LSU rRNA". It matches the Rfam family "Bacterial large subunit ribosomal RNA", at positions 1 to 523 of the family's 2925-position model. The record is from RNAcentral. Lineage: Bacteria; Pseudomonadati; Pseudomonadota; Gammaproteobacteria; Enterobacterales; Enterobacteriaceae.
GGGUUGUGAGGUUAAGCGACUAAGCGUACACGGUGGAUGCCCUGGCAGUCAGAGGCGAUGAAGGACGUGCUAAUCUGCGAUAAGCGUCGGUAAGGUGAUAUGAACCGUUAUAACCGGCGAUUUCCGAAUGGGGAAACCCAGUGUGAUUCGUCACACUAUCAUUAACUGAAUCCAUAGGUUAAUGAGGCGAACCGGGGGAACUGAAACAUCUAAGUACCCCGAGGAAAAGAAAUCAACCGAGAUUCCCCCAGUAGCGGCGAGCGAACGGGGAGCAGCCCAGAGCCUGAAUCAGUGUGUGUGUUAGUGGAAGCGUCUGGAAAGGCGCGCGAUACAGGGUGACAGCCCCGUACACAAAAAUGCACAUACUGUGAGCUCGAUGAGUAGGGCGGGACACGUGGUAUCCUGUCUGAAUAUGGGGGGACCAUCCUCCAAGGCUAAAUACUCCUGACUGACCGAUAGUGAACCAGUACCGUGAGGGAAAGGCGAAAAGAA